Hordeum vulgare subsp. vulgare (domesticated barley) is the source of this 363-nucleotide long non-coding RNA. RefSeq lists it as uncharacterized. NCBI's taxonomy places the organism in Eukaryota, Viridiplantae, Streptophyta, Magnoliopsida, Poales, Poaceae. The record is from RefSeq and is a predicted model, not a curated record. The transcript has 3 exons.
CCGCAGACUGCGUUGCUGUAGGCUAGGAGAGGAUCCAAGAGAUGGUCUACUGGCAGGAUGUGCCUCAACCAGAUCCAACUGAAUAAUUCAGGCCAUGUUUUCUUCUUCUCCGACUCCUCACAAAUUAACCAUAGUCUCCUCUCAGAAAAAUCGUAGCCACAAUAAAAAUUGAGGAUGUUUUGCAAUCCAGAAGUAGAGGGAAGAAGCUGUGUUUUUCAUUUGUAGUUCCAUGUGAUCAACCAAGUAUUAUAUGAACUAUUUUGUCGUCCACUUGUUGUCCUUGAUGUGUAGAGGAGUUGAGGGAUGAUGUAUAUUAUUUUCUUUGAUAGCUAUUGCUGAAAUGAAGAUAUAUUUUAUGUGGAA